CGUUUGAUCCUGGCUCAGAGCGAACGCUGGCGGCAGGCCUAACACAUGCAAGUCGAGCGGCCGUAGCAAUACGGCAGCGGCAGACGGGAGAGUAACACGUGGGAACGCGCCCUUCGGUUCGGAAUAACUCAGGGAAACUUGGGCUAAUACCGGAUACGCCCUUACGGGGAAAGAUUUAUUGCCGAAGGAACGGCCCGCGUCCGAUUAGCUAGUUGGUGAGGUAACGGCUCACCAAGGCGACGAUCAGUAGCUGGUCUGAGAGGAUGACCAGCCUCACUGGGACUGAGACACGGCCCAGACUCCUACGGGAGGCAGCAGUGGGGAAUAUUGGACAAUGGGCGCUAGCCUGAUCCAGCCAUGCCGCGUGGAUGAUGAAGGCCCUAGGGUUGUAAAGUCCUUUCAGCGGGGAAGAUAAUGACGGUACCCGCAGAAGAAGUCCCGGCUAACUCCGUGCCAGCAGCCGCGGUAAUAA
RNAcentral lists this ribosomal RNA (472 nucleotides) under uncultured bacterium. Its description in RNAcentral is "bacterial SSU rRNA". It matches the Rfam family "Bacterial small subunit ribosomal RNA", at positions 10 to 526 of the family's 1533-position model. The record is from RNAcentral.